UACGUAGGGGGCUAGCGUUGUUCGGAAUUACUGGGCGUAAAGCGCACGUAGGCGGGUCGUUAAGUCAGGGGUGAAAUCCCAGAGCUCAACUCUGGAACUGCCUUUGAUACUGGCGACCUAGAGUCCGGAAGAGGUUAGUGGAAUUCCCAGUGUAGAGGUGAAAUGCGCAGAUAUCAGGAAGAACACCCGUGGCGAAGGCGGCUCUCUGGGACGGUACUGACGCUGAGACGCGAAAGCGUGGGGAGCGAACAGG
This 253-nucleotide ribosomal RNA is filed under the name uncultured bacterium. RNAcentral describes it as "partial 16S ribosomal RNA". It matches the Rfam family "Bacterial small subunit ribosomal RNA", at positions 524 to 776 of the family's 1533-position model. The record is from RNAcentral.